GAUCGAAACUAAGUCUUUAAAAUUUCCUAAACAGAGGAGCAGAAAGAUUUUUUUUCUCCAUGGAAAAUAGAAAGAGGGAUUGGUUCGAUCGAAUAGGAAGGAAAAGGAGAAGAGAAAGAGAGAGAGAGAGAGAGAGAGACAGAGAGGGAGAGCACGGUAACCGAGCAAACCGCUCGAUAUUAAAACGCUGGAAAGGAAAAAAACCACGAUCUGUCGUCUUACCUAAGGGAUAAAUUCCGUUUUCCCCGUGCUCGUUUUCUCGAAAUUUUCUUCGCCGCGUGGAAACACUUUCGUUGCUUCUUUGGGGUCGAAAGGCAACGAGGGUAGAAA
Apis dorsata (giant honeybee) is the source of this 330-nucleotide long non-coding RNA. RefSeq lists it as uncharacterized. The record is from RefSeq and is a predicted model, not a curated record. Lineage: Eukaryota; Metazoa; Arthropoda; Insecta; Hymenoptera; Apidae. The transcript has 2 exons.